RNAcentral lists this unclassified non-coding RNA (2689 nucleotides) under Neodiprion pinetum (white pine sawfly). RNAcentral describes it as "cysteine-rich hydrophobic domain-containing protein 1-like, transcript variant X1". The record is from RNAcentral. Lineage: Eukaryota; Metazoa; Arthropoda; Insecta; Hymenoptera; Diprionidae.
AGUUGUGAUCGUGUUAACGCCGAUAGCCGUUCUGUAUACGCGACGGAUUACGCCGUGGGCUGGACUGCUCGGUAAGCGUACCCUGUUAUUGGUUAACGUUCCAGUGUUUGGUUAAUCCUGGAUUGCCGAGGUCCACUGUAAGCUGUCGGAUAAUGAUCGAGGCUUCAUGCUGUUUACCACUGAGGCUAAAUCGUCGAUUUUCGAUUCAUCGACUAACGCUAUCUCCGCAGAUGGCAAAGAAGAAGAAGAAGAAGAAGAAGAAGAAGAGAAGGAGAAGGAGGAAUACGAAGCUACAGAAGAAGCCGAUGGGUGAAUAAAUCCUCAGCUGUAUUUAAUCGAGCUAAAUACCGUGAGAGGAAAUAAAGUUUUAAAAUUAUAAAAGCGGCGUUAGAACGUGCUAAGAAGGAAGACAGGGGUGGAUUUUCUCCGGAUAAAUUCAAAAGAAGUUUUCGCCGUAUUUCCGCCGGACAAAAGAAGAAAACGCGAGAUCCACCCUUAUACACUCACCCCCUGCAAUUCUGCGAGUACACAUAAGAGUAUCGCCUGCGGGACGCUGCUAGCCGGAUGGCGAAGCUGGUCUUUUUGCAAUAAACGCGUCGUAGGGAAGAACUUUGGCGAGAUCCGCAUCUAGAGGAUACCUUUGGUUAUUGUUACACCGAACAAUGGAGCCCAGGUAUCACUGGGAAUGGUGUCGCGUGGCCUGCCAUUACUUCCCACCCCCGCCUAUCAUCCCUUCUCUUCUCUCUGAACUGCAAGCUUUUCCACCAUUUGCUCCAAUUCCGACCACCUCGGUUCUCCUCAGCCCCAAGAAGCUGCAGUUUCACCUGCAACGACAUCUUCGAGAUGGGCGGUGGAACAAUGCUGCGGCCUGUUAACCCGUGAUAAUUUGUUUCGUCGAGCUUUUUUGGCUCUUCCUAAUACCAGUCAACAAUUUAUUACUGCACCGAGAGAUGUUUCUAUUGUCGGAGCUACUUCACAGUCCCUGUAACUGUUCUCAUUCUUCGCCGUAACCGAAAAAUACAGUUCUCAUCGCAAGUUUUUUGAUUACAGACCUGUAUAUUCGACAAGACUGACGAACUGAGGCGUUGAACAAGGAUCAGUUAUUCAUUCGUACCCGGAGUUCUCGGCAAAUCAGAGCGUAAUAUAAACGUAAACAGUCCCGACAUGACGAUUCAUCGACGAUCGUUUGACGCUGGCUCGGCAAUAAAUUGGUUCCACAUCGAUCACAGGGAUAUUCGACGUCUGGAUUUCGAGGUCUAUUUGUCCAGCAGUCAUCACAGCUAGGUACAAAAGCUAUACUUUAUCACUUUCGAAUCGCGUUUCAGGAUUGAUGGACUGAUGGAUCAUCUAUAAUCUCACCGUUUGGCAGAAACAAAUACCGACACACGCGGAUCAUCGUCGAAAAUUUUCGAGUUCAUGAGUCAACCGAUUGAGAUACAAGGUUUUGAAAGGUUUUUCAUCGUGAUGUUAAAAUACGUGUUACAAGAUUAUUACUUAUCGUGUAUCAGGAAUGAACGACGACCAGUUGUUCAAGGAAUAAACCGACCUACAUGCAUGAAGACACUCAACUCGACACAGUAUACAUAGUCAUAUGUAUAUAAGGGGCAAUUCGAGUGCCCCUUUAUUACUUUAUUGAAGUUGUAAAAAUAUUUUCAAACAACAUUCGAAAGGAUUUGAUCUUUGUAAGGUGAUUGUGCGCUUGACCGUUCUUAAAACUUGCCUUAAAGUGGUCGGAGGAUGGUCGCAAAGUAACUGUGCUAUUUCCAAUAUUCAACAAGUAGGAAUACAAACUUUUUUCAAACGAGAAGUGAACAAAAGUUGUUCUCUGAAUUCCGUUCUUCAAUUUUUUAUCUGCAUCACUACAGUUUCAAGGGAUGUCAAAAUUUCCAGUUCCAAAACAAAAGAACACUUGUCGGUACACACUCUGACCAAUUGAGCCAGUAAAUUCAAGUCUGAAACAAUAUCGUAAUGUUAUUAAUUUUAUUCACCGCUGCGGCGCAGGUGGAUUGAUUAAUUCGCAAAUUAGUUGCAUUUGGUACAAAAUCUGCCUACCUAUGUGCUAUAUAUAUAAUAAAUUCAACAAAUUUUUUGCGUAUGCGUACAUCGACCAAUUUUGAAUACAACUCAAUUCGCAGGUGAGUGGUAUAUGAAGUUUAUAAAAUUAAUGAGGUGAAAUUAGCGUUUGCACAAUGGCAUUAUACAAACUGCAGAGUAUUGACUCAUGGCGUAUUAUACCUACAAGGUACAUCCCAUAAAUCUGGUAUUGUAGGCACAUGUGUAGGUAUAUUAUACAUGCGUGAGCGUGAAGCUGGUGUAGCAAGUGGCUGAAAAUCCAUUAGUUGGGUGUUCUCCGUACACCGCGAGGCAAAAGUUUGAGAUCUCUGUGUUGGCGCAGGUUCAACAACCGGUACACAAAACGUCUGGAUGGCGUAUAUAUGAGAGAAAUCGUUGUGUGAAUGUGAGUCUAGGUUUUAUGUCAAAGUGGACGUUUUGACAAGGGUCAAAGUUAUCCAACGUUACAUUACAGCGCCCUCCUCCCUCACUCUGCGUAUGUACAACCACACACUACGCACAACCACGAGGUAGAGGAAAGAGGAAGACAAGGAGAAGGUGAAUGAGAAGGCACAGGGUAGGCGCUAAGGAGUGAGGAAUAAAAAGAAGAGCACGAGAAGAAAGUGAGGAAAGUAGU